GAAUGGACUCCAUUAAAUCAGUUAUCGUUUAUAUUGAUAGUACCCUUACUACAUGGAUAACCCGUGGUAAUUCUAGAAGCUAAUACAUGCUAAAACCCUCGACUUCGGAAGGGGUGUAUUUAUUAGAUAAAAAACCAAUGCCCUUUCGGGGCUCCUUGGUGAAUCAUAAUAACUUAACGAAUCGCAUGGCCCUUGCGCCGGCGAUGGUUCAUUCAAAUUUCUGCCCUAUCAACUUUCGAUGGUAGGAUAGUGGCCUACCAUGGUAUCAACGGGUAACGGGGAAUUAGGGUUCUACUCCGGAGAGGGAGCCUGAGAAACGGCUACCACAUCCAAGGAAGGCAGCAGGCGCGCAAAUUACCCAAUCCCGAUACGGGGAGGUAGUGACAAUAAAUACUGAUACAGGGCUCUUUUGGGUCUUGUAAUUGGAAUGAGUACAAUUUAAAUACCUUAACGAGGAACAAUUGGAGGGCAAGUCUGGUGCCAGCAGCCGCGGUAAUUCCAGCUCCAAUAGCGUAUAUUAAAGUUGUUGCAGUUAAAAAGCUCGUAGUUGAACCUUGGGCCUGGCUGGCCGGUCCGCCUCACCGCAUGUACUGGUUCGGCCGGGUCUUUCCUUCUGGGGAUCCUCAUGCCCUUCACUGGGUGUGUUGGGGAACCAGGACUUUUACUUUGAAAAAAUUAGAGUGUUCAAAGCAGGCCUUUGCUCGAAUACAUUAGCAUGGAAUAAUAGAAUAGGACGUGCGGUCCUAUUUUGUUGGUUUCUAGGACCGCCGUAAUGAUUAAUAGGGAUAGUCGGGGGCAUCAGUAUUCAAUUGUCAGAGGUGAAAUUCUUGGAUUUAUUGAAGACUAACUACUGCGAAAGCAUUUGCCAAGGAUGUUUUCAUUAAUCAGUGAACGAAAGUUAGGGGAUCGAAGACGAUCAGAUACCGUCGUAGUCUUAUCCAUAAACUAUGCCGACUAGGGAUCGGGCGGUGUUAUUAUUUGACCCGUUCGGCACCUUACGAGAAAUCACAGUCUCGCUUGCAGAGGAGAGCACCGACCCGCA
Molecule: ribosomal RNA, 1042 nt
Filed under: Lasiodiplodia theobromae
Lineage: Eukaryota; Fungi; Ascomycota; Dothideomycetes; Botryosphaeriales; Botryosphaeriaceae
Description: SSU rRNA
Rfam family: Eukaryotic small subunit ribosomal RNA
Source: RNAcentral